UACGUAGGGGGCUAGCGUUGUCCGGAAUCAUUGGGCGUAAAGCGCGUGUAGGCGGUCCUGGAAGUCCGCUGUGAAAGUCGGGGGCUCAACCCUCGGAUGCCGGUGGAUACUGUCGGGCUUGAGUACGGAAGAGGCGAGUGGAAUUCCUGGUGUAGCGGUGAAAUGCGCAGAUAUCAGGAGGAACACCAAUUGCGAAGGCAGCUCGCUGGGACGUUACUGACGCUGAGACGCGAAAGCGUGGGGAGCAAACAGG
This 253-nucleotide ribosomal RNA is filed under the name uncultured bacterium. RNAcentral describes it as "partial 16S ribosomal RNA". It matches the Rfam family "Bacterial small subunit ribosomal RNA", at positions 524 to 776 of the family's 1533-position model. The record is from RNAcentral.